UCUUCCUCCUCCGCCUCCCCCUAAAUCUCGCGGAUAAAUAAGCGAGCGGGAGAAAGCAAUUUGGACUCUAGAGAGAGAGAGAGGGGAAAGCGGCGGGGGAAGGGAAGGUCAAGGCAUCUCCCAUCGUCGUUCCGGGAGGGAGAGAUUCUUGGGACGAGGCGCCGCGGAAGGAAUUUCUGGCCCCAGUGUUUCGCUUCCAUGGAGAGGGACUUCCUGGGCGCGAUUGGCCGGGCGGGGAAGGGCGGCGGCGGCGACGCGGUGAAGGAGGGCCGGACGGAGUCAGAUAACCCGCCGGCGACGCAGUGGCAGUUCCCGGCGACGUCCGGCGCGGCGCCGGCGUUCAUGUCUUUCCGGACGCCCAGGGAGGAGGACCACAAGGAGUUCUCCAUCUCCGGGUUCCGGCCGGUGUCGGCAGCGGCAACCGGAGACGCCUUCGACGGCAUCAAGAAGCAGACCUCCUUGCCCGUGAUGCCUCAGCAGAGGCAGUUCGGGCUCAACAACCAGGUCACGGCGCCGCAGUAUCAUCCCGCUGCGCCCUACGGCCAGCGCGUGCAGGGGAUGGAUUAUAAUCAUCUCCCUGCUGGAACAAGGAUGGUUCAGCCGGUCUCGGUGCGGCAUCCUGCGCCGCUCAACCAGGCGAAUCCGAUGCUCAGGUCGCAGAGCUUCCACAACGGCACUGUUGGGCCAUUCAAGAAUCAACCAUUCACCAUGAGCAAUGGGUUUGGUGGAUGUACGGUUGGCGUGUAUGGCUCAAGGAACCCACGGAGUCGGACCUCAACGCAGUUGACAAUAUUCUACAAUGGUUCUGUAAAUGUAUUCGACAGCAUCCCCGUGGAGAAGGCUAAAGAACUUAUGAUGUUAGCCAGCAGGGCAUCUAUUCCAAGCCCGCCAAGUGCGCGCCACAAACCAGAUUCACCUAUUUCUACCCCUGCAAAGGUCAACGUGCCUGAGGUUUUGCCUGCUAGGCAGAUCGUAAUUCAGAAACCAGAUCCAUCCGUGCCUCAUGUAUCAACCACUUCAAGUCCAAUUCCCGUUGUCCCACAAGUUGUGACUCUCUCCAGGAAUACAUCCAACAGUACCAUUGAACCCAUGAGGCCAAAACCUGCUGUUCAAAUGCCGGUCACUGCUCCUACCAGUCAGGCAAUGCCGGUCACGGCUCCUACCAGUCAGGCACCCUCGUCUCAGCCAAUGCCGCUGGCAACUACAAGUGCUGCUGUGCCAAGAGCUGUCCCUCAAGCUCGGAAAGCAUCUCUUGCCCGAUUCUUGGAGAAGCGAAAGGAGAGAGUGACUAGUGUCGAGCCAUACCCGACAUCGAAGAGCCCGCUACAGAGCAGCGACAACUAGGGCUCCCACCAAAUCGUCGUCCACAGAGAUCGCCCCAACGAGCAGCAACGGGGAGGAACCCUUGCUCUUCGGCCAGCCCAGAAACAUCAGCUUCAGCACCGAAGCCUGCCCCAGCACGAAGUUGCAUAUCUGAUACCUUCAAGUGUUCAUAGUAGACUCCUCGCUCACGGACGCGGAAGCCUGAUGUCCUGUUCCACGUCCGGAUGAGGCGGGAAGAUAGGAAGAGACGGACAUUUAGAUGUUGUCUUGCUGAGUAUAAUUUUGUGUGGCUAGAGCUGUAUCUAUACGUAGUGUUGGCCUAGCCGCUACAUAGCUACUGCAGCCCGCUGCUGCUGCGUUGCAGGCUCUUCUUGUUUUUUUUUUUUGGAGGGGGACUGCUCCAUUGUAGUGUUAAGCCUGAGAAAACAGACGUGCUGAUUUCGCCUCUGAAUGAAUGUUAUAGGAUUAUACAGAUUGCAUUGUUUUGAA
Panicum virgatum (switchgrass) is the source of this 1812-nucleotide RNA transcript. It is a transcript of the gene named protein TIFY 6a-like, with no coding region annotated. Lineage: Eukaryota; Viridiplantae; Streptophyta; Magnoliopsida; Poales; Poaceae. The record is from RefSeq and is a predicted model, not a curated record. The transcript is spliced from 7 exons.